This is a long non-coding RNA of Astatotilapia calliptera (eastern happy), 492 nucleotides long. Lineage: Eukaryota; Metazoa; Chordata; Actinopteri; Cichliformes; Cichlidae. The record is from Ensembl.
CUGUAACACAAACACCACAAUCAACACAAGUACUGCCAAUUCAGGCUUAGGCAACAACGAUAUGUACGCAGCUCCUACCUGCAACACCGGGGGAAGUCAGGUGACCGAAAGGAGACAACAGAGGUUGCUGCUUCCCACGGUUUGGACUCACCUGGAGCUGCGUUUUCUCUCUCCUCCUUGCCUGCCUGCCCACACUCUGGCUGUAGUGCUGCUGUCAGUGAAACCCUCUGCACUCUCGAAAUACCGUGGACCUCCCCUCCUCAGAGCUUUCAAAGCACAGACCUGCAAAGCCAAAUUACAGUGUGGCUGAUCAUGAGUUGUUGACAGUGAAGCUGGCACGGGAGGAAUGGAGGCAACUAUUCAUGGUCUGAAUACCAGACCAAGUUCUGCACUGACACUGGAGCCCAGAUUUGGGACGUACACCAGGAUUCUAUUCGUGGACUUUAACUUGACCUCCAAGACAUCCUUCAGGUUAUUGUACCUGCCUCUGCC